This 583-nucleotide long non-coding RNA is filed under the name Brassica napus (rape). RNAcentral's name for it is "long non-coding RNA (BNAP_LNC024128)". The record is from RNAcentral. Lineage: Eukaryota; Viridiplantae; Streptophyta; Magnoliopsida; Brassicales; Brassicaceae.
CCUUUGAUGAUGUGGCUUAAGGAGGAGAGAGCACAUUCUACUUUAUUCGGGUUCUCUCUAUUUUUUGGGCGGUUUUUAGGUUCUGGUCAUUUUGCGCCUCUUCUCUCUAAUUCUGUCUUUUCUGUCCAAAUCGUGGGUUUACACUAUUUUGUGUUGUUGGUUUACGAAAUGAUGAAAAGUCAUUUUAUUUCAUCUUAAACUUGUUUGGUGUUUAUGAUUGAGCCUUUUUGACUCGAAGUUUGGCCGUUUGGAUUGAAAUGAAAGGAUUUUCAAACACGAAACCGUGAACCGCUUAAUUCCAACUCUUAGAUGAUUCAAUCAAAAACAAGAGUUAAAGAGAGAGGGAACUAGUGACAAGAAAAGAGAGGGGGAGAGAGGGAACUAGCGACUAAAGGAGAGUGAUGGAAAUGGCGAGAUGAAGGGAAAAGAGAGGAAAGAGGAGGAGGAAGGGAGAGAAUAGAGAGAUAAUCACUGAGGAGGAAGAAGGGGGAUGAGGAGAAGAGGGAGGGAAGUAGCUAGGAGGAGAAGAGGGAGGGAAAUAAGGAGAGGGAACUGGCGAGAGGCUUGCUUGGUGGGUCUUCUC